RNAcentral lists this ribosomal RNA (301 nucleotides) under uncultured bacterium. Its description in RNAcentral is "partial 16S ribosomal RNA". It matches the Rfam family "Bacterial small subunit ribosomal RNA", at positions 509 to 807 of the family's 1533-position model. The record is from RNAcentral.
CAGCCGCCGCGGUAAUACGAAGGGUGCAAGCGUUAAUCGGAAUUACUGGGCGUAAAGCGUGCGUAGGCGGUUUGUUAAGUCUGCUGUGAAAUCCCCGGGCUCAACCUGGGAAUGGCAGUGGAUACUGGCUCGCUAGAGUGUGUCAGAGGAUGGUGGAAUUCCCGGUGUAGCAGUGAAAUGCGUAGAGAUCGGAAGGAACAUCUGUGGCGAAGGCGACUAUCUGGGCCAACACUGACGCUGAGGCACGAAAGCGUGGGGAGCAAACAGGAUUAGAGACCCCUGUAGUCCCUGUCUCUUAUAC